Molecule: ribosomal RNA, 466 nt
Filed under: uncultured bacterium
Lineage: Bacteria
Description: partial 16S ribosomal RNA
Rfam family: Bacterial small subunit ribosomal RNA
Source: RNAcentral
GAUGAACGCUGGCGGCGUGCUUAACACAUGCAAGUCGAACGAUGAAGCCCAGCUUGCUGGGUGGAUUAGUGGCGAACGGGUGAGUAACACGUGAGUAACCUGCCCUUAACUCUGGGAUAAGCCUGGGAAACUGGGUCUAAUACCCGAUAGGAGCGUCCACCGCACGGUGGGUGUUGGAAAGAUUUAGCGGUUUUGGAUGGACUCGCGGCGUAUCAGCUUGUUGGUGAGGUAAUGGCUCACCAAGGCGACGACGGGUAGCCGGCCUGAGAGGGUGACCGGCCACACUGGGACUGAGAUACGGCCCAGACUCCUACGGGAGGCAGCAGUGGGGAAUAUUGCACAAUGGGCGCAAGCCUGAUGCAGCGACGCCGCGUGAGGGAUGACGGCCUUCGGGUUGUAAACCUCUUUCAGUAGGGAAGAAGCGAAAGUGACGGUACCUGCAGAAGAAGCACCGGCUAACUACGUG